Molecule: ribosomal RNA, 253 nt
Filed under: uncultured bacterium
Lineage: Bacteria
Description: partial 16S ribosomal RNA
Rfam family: Bacterial small subunit ribosomal RNA
Source: RNAcentral
UACGAAGGGGGCUAGCGUUGUUCGGAAUUACUGGGCGUAAAGCGCACGUAGGCGGGUCGUUAAGUCAGGGGUGAAAUCCCAGAGCUCAACUCUGGAACUGCCUUUGAUACUGGCGACCUUGAGGCCGGAAGAGGUUAGUGGAAUUCCCAGUGUAGAGGUGAAAUUCGUAGAUAUUGGGAAGAACACCAGUGGCGAAGGCGGCUAACUGGUCCGGAUCUGACGCUGAGGUGCGAAAGCGUGGGGAGCAAACAGG